CUGGUUGAUCCUGCCAGAGGCUACUGCUAUCGGGGUCCGAUUAAGCCAUGCGAAUUGAGAGGGGUAAGCCCUCGGCAUAUUGCUCAGUAACACGCGGAUAACCUGCCCUUGGGUUCGGGAUAACCCCGGGAAACUGGGACUAAUACCGGAUAGAUCAAAGAAACUGGAAUGUUCUCUGGUUUAAAACUCUGGUGCCCAAGGAUGGGUCUGCGGCCUAUCAGGUAGUAGUGGGUGUAACGUACCUACUAGCCUGCGACGGGUAAGGGUUGUGAGAGCAAGAGCCCUGAGAUGGAUUCUGAGACAUGAAUCCAGGCCCUACGGGGUGCAGCAGGCGCGAAAACUUUACACUGCGGGAAACCGCGAUAAGGGGACCCCGAGUGCCAGCACCUAGUGCUGGCUGUCCAGCUGUCCAAAUAACAGUUGUUAGCAAGGGCCGGGCAAGACCGGUGCCAGCCGCCGCGGUAACACCGGCGGCCCGAGUGGUAGCCGUUAUUAUUGGGUUUAAAGGGUCCGUAGCCGGCCUAUUAAGUCUCUUGGGAACUCUGGCGACUCAAUCGUCAGUCGUCCAAGAGAUACUGGUAGGCUUGGGACCGGGAGAGGUGGGAGGUACUCCAGGGGUGGGGGUGAAAUCUCGUAAUCCUUGGGGGACCACCGAUGGCGAAGGCAUCCCACCAGAACGGGUCCGACGGUGAGGGACGAAAGCUGGGGGCACGAACCGGAUUAGAUACCCGGGUAGUCCCAGCCGUAAACGAUGCUCGCUAGGUGUCAGGUGCGGUGCGACCGCAUCUGGUGCCGCAGUGAAAGCUUGAAGCGAGUCACCUGGGAAGUACGGUCGCAAGGCUGAAACUUAAAGGAAUUGGCGGGGGAGCACUACAACGGGUGGAGCCUGCGGUUCAAUUGGAUUCAACGCCGGA
Molecule: ribosomal RNA, 914 nt
Filed under: uncultured archaeon
Lineage: Archaea
Description: bacterial SSU rRNA
Rfam family: Archaeal small subunit ribosomal RNA
Source: RNAcentral